Molecule: ribosomal RNA, 247 nt
Filed under: uncultured bacterium
Lineage: Bacteria
Description: partial 16S ribosomal RNA
Rfam family: Bacterial small subunit ribosomal RNA
Source: RNAcentral
AUACGUAGGUGGCAAGCGUUGUCCGGAAUUACUGGGUGUAAAGGGAGCGCAGGCGGGGAGACAAGUCAGCUGUGAAAUGUAUGGGCUUAACCCAUAAAUUGCAGUUGAAGCUGUUCUUCUUGAGUGGAGUAGAGGUAGGCGGAAUUCCGAGUGUAGCGGUGAAAUGCGUAGAUAUUCGGAGGAACACCAGUGGCGAAGGCGGCCUACUGGGCUCUAACUGACGCUGAGGCCCGAAAGUGUGGGGAGC